Molecule: ribosomal RNA, 497 nt
Filed under: uncultured bacterium
Lineage: Bacteria
Description: partial 16S ribosomal RNA
Rfam family: Bacterial small subunit ribosomal RNA
Source: RNAcentral
GACGAACGCUGGCGGCGUGCCUAAUACAUGCAAGUUGAGCGCUGAAGGUUGGUACUUGUACCAACUGGAUGAGCAGCGAACGGGUGAGUAACGCGUGGGGAAUCUGCCUUUGAGCGGGGGACAACAUUUGGAAACGAAUGCUAAUACCGCAUAAAAACUUUAAACACAAGUUUUAAGUUUGAAAGAUGCAAUUGCAUCACUCAAAGAUGAUCCCGCGUUGUAUUAGCUAGUUGGUGAGGUAAAGGCUCGCCAAGGCGAUGAUACAUAGCCGACCUGAGAGGGUGAUCGGCCACAUUGGGACUGAGACACGGCCCAAACUCCUACGGGAGGCAGCAGUAGGAAAUCUUCGGCAAUGGACGAAAGUCUGACCGAGCAACGCCGCGGGAGUGAAGAAGGUUUUCGGAUCGUAAAACUCUGUUGGUAGAGAAGAACGUUGGUGAGAGUGGAAAGCUCAUCAAGUGACGGUAACUACACAGAAAGGGACGGCUAACUACGUG